GGAGAUGACAUUCAGCCAAUAAACACGUUCUGUGGCUUCUUUAAGCUCAUUCAGUUUCAGCAGAGAAGGAGAACAGCUAAUGUCAGAAUUUUGAAUCUGUAUUGACAGGAAGAUGGUUUUUCAAAAGCUGGUAUCUUUACUAUGCCUUCCACAACAUUUAUUAAAAACAAAAACAGAAGAAUGCAACACUAAAAAUCUUACAUUGUUAAAGCAGAACAGAAUAUGAAGCAAAGCUGACAGACAACUGAAAUUGUACCUCAUUAAAAUUUUUUAUUUAAUUGUCAAAUGAAGAAUGGUGGUGUUUCUGUUGUUUUCUAAAUAAAUAUUGUCUAAAAAACUGAUGACAUAUUUUCAAACAGGAAAAUGGUUGCAAAUAACCAGAGUGGUUCUGAUAUUCUUAAAUACUUUAUUUUAAAGGAAAUUUUAAUGCUUCCAAAUGAUAAAAACAACUGAUUGAAACAAAACAUAUUGCUUGGCUUCCUAUUAUUUAAAGAUUUAGCUUAAAUGUCUACAAGAACUUCCACUCUGGCCAAGAUAGAGUAAGGACUGGGAUUUAUCCUCUCACUUAAACACAGUUUGCAAGGCAAAGAGUAUCCGGUAACUGGAGGCAGUGGUCAAUCCCAGAAGAGAAGGAAACAAAUGAGGUCAGCCGUGCGAUUGUCCCAGUUUACUGCCCUGUGGGAUUCCACACAGCUGUGCAUGGAGGGAGAAACACCCCCCCCCCCCCCAGGGCAAAGCCCAGCCAAUGUUUUAUCUUGAGGAUAUGCAGCUGAGAAUAUGGGAAAGCAAGGAAACUCCAGUUCAUAGGAAAAAUACUGAGAGGACAGAGCUACACACACAUGCGAAGAGAGAGAGAGAGAAGGUGCUUCAGAGAUCUGCUGAAGGUUCUCCUUGAAUAUUCAGCUGAUCACCAAUCAGCACAUGUGCAUGCAGAAAAUACAUAAGUCAGAGAUGGAACCACUGGAAAGGAUUAGAGGUAAUGGUACCCGACUCCCACACAAAGGCAGAAAACAGUGCCUGCAUCCAUCAGUCUGAUUGGAAAACCUCAAGAUCAACAAGCCAACAAAUAGAACACCCAGAGGGGCCUUGCCUCAGUAGGAAGGAGCAAUAAGCCGUACAUAAAGCAUGGCUUCAGGCCUGUCUCACAAAUCUUCAAAGAUCCAAAAGGAUCAAAUUGUUUUCAAGUAAGUUAACUGGGUCCUAGCACAAAGCUCAAGAAUAUUACAGUGAUAAAAAUAGCCACUGCCCAACUAGGUAAAAAGUUCCACUUCAUUGGAUAUUUAUUCAACUUCCCUCAUCAUUGACUGAAAGUAUUUUUCUACAGGCAAGAAGGAAUAAUGGUUGUUUCAAACCAGAGAGAGAGCAAACAAUAUCUCCCCUGGAAUCAUUGGCACCAGUCCUGUCUUUAGAGAAUACAGCUUGGCCCUUCCUUCCUCAGUAUCUUCUAGACUUGAAGACUGAUUUUCUCUUCUUUGUUUUAGCAGCUUUCUGGCCUCAAUCCUUUAUCUGCUUAACUCUGUAUUUGUUGAAUGAAUGAACAAGUGCACAUACUACCAGCUCAGUCCAGUCUCCCAACUCUGCCCAUAAAGUGAAUCAAGGGGCAUUAUUUUUAGCCAUGUAAGAGAAAUGUUUUAAUAAAAUAUUUCUAGACAAUCAAAUUUAAAGCAA
Long non-coding RNA from Felis catus (domestic cat), 1668 nucleotides. RefSeq lists it as uncharacterized. The record is from RefSeq and is a predicted model, not a curated record. The transcript has 3 exons. Lineage: Eukaryota; Metazoa; Chordata; Mammalia; Carnivora; Felidae.